Molecule: ribosomal RNA, 253 nt
Filed under: uncultured bacterium
Lineage: Bacteria
Description: partial 16S ribosomal RNA
Rfam family: Bacterial small subunit ribosomal RNA
Source: RNAcentral
UACGGGGGGGGCAAGCGUUGUUCGGAAUUACUGGGCGUAAAGGGCGCGUAGGCGGCCUACUAAGUCGGACGUGAAAUCCCUCGGCUCAACCGAGGAACUGCGUCCGAUACUGGUGGGCUUGAAUCCGGGAGAGGGAUGUGGAAUUCCAGGUGUAGCGGUGAAAUGCGUAGAUAUCUGGAGGAACACCGGUGGCGAAGGCGGCAUCCUGGACCGGUAUUGACGCUGAGGAGCGAAAGCCAGGGGAGCAAACGGG